CAUCACGCAAGGAGGGGCUGCGUGCUGAGACUUACAUCUUGGAUAAAGAUUGAAGUUCAGAGACUCGGUGUUUAACAACUUGGAAUCCUUCCCUCUUGGUUGAUAAUUUGUAAAUGUUGGCUGAAUAAGUGAAUGAUGCAGUUCUUACACAGAAGACAGUCAAACAACUACAUGAAAAAGUCCUCAACAUCACUAAUCACCGGAAAAAUGCAAAACCACAAUGAGAUACCAUCUCAUACCUGUCAAAAUGACUAUUAUCAGAAAGACGAGAAACAACAAGUGUUGGCAAGGAUGUAGAGAAAAGGAACUCUCCUGCACCAUUGGUGAGAAUGUAACUUGGUGCAGCCACUAUGGAAAACUAAGAGGGUUCCUCAAAACAUUAAAAAUAAAACUACUACAUGAUCCAGCAAUCCCAUUUCUGGGUAUAUAUACAAAGGAAAUGAGAACAGGAUCUUGGGAGAGAUAUCUGCACUCUCAUGUUCAUUGCAGCAUUAUUCACAAUAACCAAGAUAUGGAAACAACCUAAGUGUUCCUCAGCAGAUGAAUGAAUAAAGAUGAGGUGGGGGGGUGUAUAUACAUAUGUACAUAUCAUUCAGCCAUGAGAAAGAAAGACAUCUUGACAUUUGUCACAACAUGGAUAGAACUUGAGGGCACUAGGCUAAAUGAAAUAAGACUGACACUGAAAGACAAAUAUUGUAUGAUCUCAUUUACAUAUGGAAUCUAAAAAAACCAAACAAACAAAACCCAAAAUUCAUAAAACUUGUAGAAACAGAGAAAAAAAGGGUGGUUACCAGGAGCUGGGAGGUGGCAGAGAAGUGAUAUGUUGGUCAAAGGUUAUAAACUUCUAGUUGUAAGAUAAAUAAGUUCUGGGGAAUCUAAUGUACAGUAUAGUAAUUUACGUUAAUAAUACUGUAUUGUAUACAUGAAAGUUGCUAAGAGAGUAUAUCUUAAAUAUUCUUACCACAAAAAAUAAAUGGAAAUUAUGCUACAUGAUUCAGGUAUUAGCUAAUGUUAUGGUAGUAAUUACUUUGCAAUAUAUAUGUGUAUCAAAUCAACAUGUUGUACACCUUAAAUUUACCCAAUGUUAUAUAUCAUUUAUAUCUAAAUAAAGCUGGAAAAAAGUACUUACUAAGUUUCUUUGCUUCAUGCCUUCUCCUCUCUUAAUCAGCCUCACCAAUUAUUUUGGUUUAAGAUUUUCUGCUAGGUUUUCCCUUUGAUGCAUCUUUCCUGGAUGUCUUUGUGAAGAAAACAUAAACGAAUAGAAAUUCCAUUGCAUGGCUCUGUCACUAUUUGAGUGUACACUUGACUUCAGAAGGUCUUUAUUUGCACUGAACCUUUAAACAUGUUGAAGUUCCGAUAUUUGGGCUUUCAAAUCUAAUCAAACUUAUCCUGGAGUAGAAGGGAUUCACACCUCAACACAAACAAGGUUUCUUUCAACCUAUCACAUGGGUGGACUUUGAGGGCAUUAUGCUAACUGAAGUAAGUUGGAGAAAGACAAAUACUGUAGGAUAUCACUUAUAUGUGGAAUUUUUAAGAAGUCAAAUUCAUAGAAACAGAGACUAGAAUGGUGGUUACUAGAGGCAGGGGGUUGGGGGUAAUCAGGAGAUGUCAGCCAAAGAGUACAAACUUCCAGUUUUAAGAUGAAUAAGUUCUCUGGGUCUAAUUACUUUACGGUGAUUUUAGCUAAUAAAACUGUUUAAUAUACUUGAAAGUUGCUAAGAGUAGACCUUAAAUGUUCUCACCACAAAAAAGAAAUGGUAGUUAUGUGACACGAUGGA
Molecule: long non-coding RNA, 1778 nt
Organism: Globicephala melas (long-finned pilot whale)
Lineage: Eukaryota; Metazoa; Chordata; Mammalia; Artiodactyla; Delphinidae
Source: RefSeq, a predicted model, not a curated record